RNAcentral lists this ribosomal RNA (1470 nucleotides) under metagenome. RNAcentral's name for it is "bacterial LSU rRNA". It matches the Rfam family "Bacterial large subunit ribosomal RNA", at positions 1458 to 2925 of the family's 2925-position model. The record is from RNAcentral.
UGAGUAAUGGGGGGACGCAGUAGGAUAGGGUGAGCGCACUGUUGGUUAUGUGCGUCUAAGCAGUGAGGUGUGGAAUGAGGCAAAUCCCGUUCCUAAAACAUUGAGCUGUGAUGGCGAGGAGACUUAUCUCCGGAGUCCCUGAUUUCACGCUGCCAAGAAAAGCCUCUAGCGAGGCGGGAGGUGCCCGUACCGCAAACCGACACAGGUAGGCGAGGAGAGAAUCCUAAGGUGAUCGAGAGAACUCUCGUUAAGGAACUCGGCAAAAUGACCCCGUAACUUCGGGAGAAGGGGUGCUCUGGUAGGGUGUUAAAGCCCGAGAGAGCCGCAGUGAAUAGGCCCAGGCGACUGUUUAGCAAAAACACAGGUCUCUGCAAAACCGUAAGGUGAAGUAUAGGGGCUGACGCCUGCCCGGUGCUGGAAGGUUAAGAGGAGAGGUCAGCGCAAGCGAAGCUUUGAAUUGAAGCCCCAGUAAACGGCGGCCGUAACUAUAACGGUCCUAAGGUAGCGAAAUUCCUUGUCGGGUAAGUUCCGACCCGCACGAAAGGCGUAACGAUCUGGGCACUGUCUCAACGAGAGACUCGGUGAAAUUAUAAUACCUGUGAAGAUGCAGGUUACCCGCGACAGGACGGAAAGACCCCGUGGAGCUUUACUGUAACCUGAUAUUGAAUUCCGGUGCAGCCUGUACAGGAUAGGUAGGAGCCUAAGAUUCCGGAGCGCCAGCUUCGGAGAGGCGUUGGUGGGAUACUACCCUGGCUGUAUUGGACUUCUAACCCAUGCCCCUUAUCGGGGCAGGAGACAGUGUCAGGCGGACAGUUUGACUGGGGCGGUCGCCUCCUAAAGAGUAACGGAGGCGCCCAAAGGUUCCCUCAGAAUGGUUGGACAUCAUUCGUAGAGUGCAAAGGCAUAAGGGAGCUUGACUGCGAGACCUACAAGUCGAGCAGGGUCGAAAGACGGGCUUAGUGAUCCGGUGGUUCCGCAUGGAAGGGCCAUCGCUCAACGGAUAAAAGCUACCCCGGGGAUAACAGGCUUAUCUCCCCCAAGAGUCCACAUCGACGGGGAGGUUUGGCACCUCGAUGUCGGCUCAUCGCAUCCUGGGGCUGUAGUCGGUCCCAAGGGUUGGGCUGUUCGCCCAUUAAAGCGGUACGCGAGCUGGGUUCAGAACGUCGUGAGACAGUUCGGUCCCUAUCCGUCGCGGGCGCAGGAAAUUUGAGAGGAGCUGUCCUUAGUACGAGAGGACCGGGAUGGACACACCGCUGGUGUACCAGUUGUCUUGCCAAAGGCAUCGCUGGGUAGCUAUGUGUGGACGGGAUAAAUGCUGAAAGCAUCUAAGCAUGAAGCCCCCCUCGAGAUGAGAUUUCCCAUUACGCAAGUAAGUAAGUUCCCUCAAAGAAGAUGAGGUUGAUAGGUCUGGGGUGGAAGCGCGGCGACGUGUGGAGCUGACAGAUACUAAUCGAACGAGGACUUAACCUA